Molecule: ribosomal RNA, 429 nt
Filed under: Bacteroidota bacterium
Lineage: Bacteria; Pseudomonadati; Bacteroidota
Description: Bacteroidetes bacterium partial 16S ribosomal RNA
Rfam family: Bacterial small subunit ribosomal RNA
Source: RNAcentral
UAGGGAAUCUUCGGCAAUGGGGGGAACCCUGACCGAGCAACGCCGCGUGAGUGAAGAAGGUUUUCGGAUCGUAAAGCUCUGUUGUUAAGGAAGAACGAGUGUGAGAAUGGAAAGUUCAUACUGUGACGGUACUUAACCAGAAAGGGACGGCUAACUACGUGCCAGCAGCCGCGGUAAUACGUAGGUCCCGAGCGUUGUCCGGAUUUAUUGGGCGUAAAGCGAGCGCAGGCGGUUAGAUAAGUCUGAAGUUAACGGCAGUGGCUCAACCAUUGUAGGCUUUGGAAACUGUUUAACUUGAGUGCAGAAGGGGAGAGUGGAAUUCCAUGUGUAGCGGUGAAAUGCGUAGAUAUAUGGAGGAACACCGGUGGCGAAAGCGGCUCUCUGGUCUGUAACUGACGCUGAGGCUCGAAAGCGUGGGGAGCGAACAGG